RNAcentral lists this transfer RNA (73 nucleotides) under Streptomyces phage Stella. Its description in RNAcentral is "tRNA-His". It matches the Rfam family "tRNA". From Rfam's summary of the family: Transfer RNA (tRNA) molecules are approximately 80 nucleotides in length. Lineage: Duplodnaviria; Heunggongvirae; Uroviricota; Caudoviricetes. The record is from RNAcentral.
GUGACCAUGGUGUAACGGUAGCCUUCUGGGUUGUGUCCCCAGAGGAGAGGGUUCGAUUCCCUCUGGUCACCCC